Molecule: long non-coding RNA, 593 nt
Organism: Mytilus trossulus (common blue mussel)
Lineage: Eukaryota; Metazoa; Mollusca; Bivalvia; Mytilida; Mytilidae
Exons: 2
Source: RefSeq, a predicted model, not a curated record
ACAAUAAUCUAUAAUUCAUUUUAUUAUUGAUUUAAUUAUCUCCCCUAUAUCUGUAUCACAUGCCAUUACGUAGUUCAUGUAAUUUUCUAUUGACUUUUAAAAUAAAUUACAUUUAUUUAUUGGGCAACUAUGAGUCUAUGUAUUAAUGGUAAUAAUAAACAGUUGCAUAUGUAUUAUUCCUUAUUUCUCAAUCAAAAGAAGUCCCAAUACAUUUUUAGCUUUACCAAAUUUUAUCUUUUAUUUUUUGUACACUCCUGUUCUGAUCCCAAAUACUUUUUUUAAAAAUACCAAGAUCAAUUAUAGGUUUCUGCUAUACUUUUAUCAUUCAAUUUAAACAUCUAACUUCAUAUCACUUGUAAAAAAACAAUUUCAUCAUGUUCAUAGAAAUAGCUUAUUUAAGAUGUAUAAUAUUGUUAUUGUACAGCAACAGAAAUUAAAGAAAUGGGACUGCAUCAUGAAUAGUAUUUUGAAUACAUUUUGAAAAAGAAUUAUUUUUUAAGGCGAAAAAGUUGUAUGAAAGUGAAGUAAAUUAUUUUUACAAUAUAUUGUGCAAUAAAUUGUAAAUAAAAUGUGAUACCAUAGUAACCAUACCA